GCAGCCGCCGCGGUAAUACGAAGGGGGCUAGCGUUGCUCGGAAUGACUGGGCGUAAAGGGCGCGUAGGCGGAUUGUUUAGUUAGGCGUGAAAUUCCUGGGCUUAACCUGGGGACUGCGCUUAAUACAGGCAGUCUAGAGUGAGGAAGAGGGUUGUGGAAUUCCCAGUGUAGAGGUGAAAUUCGUAGAUAUUGGGAAGAACACCGAUGGCGAAGGCAGCCCCCUGGGCCAAUACUGGCGCUCAUGCACGAAAGCGUGGGGAGCAAACAGGAUUAGAUACCCCUGUAGUCCCUGUCUCUUAUAC
This 302-nucleotide ribosomal RNA is filed under the name uncultured bacterium. RNAcentral describes it as "partial 16S ribosomal RNA". It matches the Rfam family "Bacterial small subunit ribosomal RNA", at positions 508 to 807 of the family's 1533-position model. The record is from RNAcentral.